This 563-nucleotide ribosomal RNA is filed under the name uncultured Glomeromycotina. RNAcentral's name for it is "SSU rRNA". It matches the Rfam family "Eukaryotic small subunit ribosomal RNA", at positions 548 to 1114 of the family's 1831-position model. The record is from RNAcentral. Lineage: Eukaryota; Fungi; Glomeromycota.
UUGGAGGGCAAGUCUGGUGCCAGCAGCCGCGGUAAUUCCAGCUCCAAUAGCGUAUAUUAAAGUUGCUGCAGUUAAAAAGCUCGUAGUUGAAUUUCGGGAUCAAUAUGUUGGUCGUGCCUUGGUACGUACUAGCUUAUUGGUUUCUCCCUUCUGACGAACCAUGAUGUCAUUUAUUUGGUGUUGUGGGGAAUCAGGACUGUUACUUUGAAAAAAUUAGAGUGUUUAAAGCAGGCUCACGCUUGAAUACAUUAGCAUGGAAUAAUGAAAUAGGACGUUUGAUUCUAUUUUGUUAGUUUCUAGGAUCGACGUAAUGAUUAAUAGGGAUAGUUGGGGGCAUUAGUAUUCAAUUGUCAGAGGUGAAAUUCUUGGAUUUAUUGAAGACUAACUACUGCGAAAGCAUUUGCCAAGGAUGUUUUCAUUAAUCAAGAACGAAAGUUAGGGGAUCGAAGACGAUCAGAUACCGUCGUAGUCUUAACCAUAAACUAUGCCGACUAGGGAUCGGAUGAUGUUAAUUUUUUAAUGACUCAUUCGGCGCCUUACGGGAAACCAAAGUGUUUGGGUUC